This is a long non-coding RNA of Chrysemys picta bellii (western painted turtle), 1139 nucleotides long. Lineage: Eukaryota; Metazoa; Chordata; Testudines; Emydidae. The record is from Ensembl.
ACCCCAGUACCUCCCAGGGAAGGGAUGGGCAGAGCAGCCUCCCGCUCCCCCCCAGCGGGCUCAGCCCCCUCCCCAGCUGUGCCCCUCACGGCGCGCCGCGGGCACCAGGCUCGCUCCAGCUCUGCGCUCCCGUCCCCGCCACUUCUUGCAGGGCUGGCGCCGGGAACCAGCGGAGAUGCCGCCGGUGCUGGGAGGCGCGGCGGUCCCCUGGCUGCUGCUGCUGCUGCUCUCUGCCUCCGGCCUGACGGAUGAGCAAACGGAUCUGCCUCCCUUCUCAGCAACUGGAGGACUCCACUCAGUUUUGGAGGACACCGUGUCACCAGCCUUCAGUGCUACUGUUAUCAUCAUUGUAACUGUUAUCCUAUCGGGGAGUGCUUAUUUGUGUUUCCUGAAAUACAUCUGCUCUGGAUGCUGCAAAUCCACACAAGUGGAACCAGUCAGAAGACUGGAUCCUAGCAGAUCUGAAGAACAAGUGUAACCUAACCUAAACAUUCAGCUCAUCACCAUUUUGAUGGGCCCCCUCACGAGAUCUCCUGGAGGACAAAGGCAUGGACAGCCUGUACCUGGAAUUAAGAAGAAAUGUCGGAAAGGGAAGGCAGAGGAGAUGUGGCUUCCAGGGAAUUAGGUCAGCUGCAAGACCUCUGUAUAAUAUCAGAGCCUUACCAUGCUUUCCCUUCUGUAUCUGCGGCUGGUUUAUACUGGAUAGAGUUAAUCUCCUUUGAAGGCCUUAUUGAUGAAUUGUUACUACAGAUCACGCAUUCCUGUCCACAAUGUGUCUUUAUCAUAGCGCAGGGGGGAGGGAUAGCUCAGUUGUUUGAGAAUUAGCCUGCUAAACCUAGGGUUCUGACCUCAAUCCUUGAGGGGGCCAUUUAGGGUUUUGGGGCAAAAAUCUGUCUGGGGAUUGGUCCUCCUUUGAGCAGGGGGUUGGGUUAGAUGACCUCCUGAGAUUCUAUGAUUUCAUUCUUUCCAGUUAAGCUGGUGACAUUUGGUUUAUUAUGGGUACAUCUGUUAGCCUCUGUUUGACAUUUCUUGAGGGAACCUUGGAACCUUUGGUCCAUUGGAGAAUAUGAAGCCACAAAGUGUUACCCAAUCUUCUCUGUUAGUACAGACUCAUCAGUAUUAGAUACCAAAAAAAGUGG